Molecule: unclassified non-coding RNA, 305 nt
Filed under: Hevea brasiliensis (rubber tree)
Lineage: Eukaryota; Viridiplantae; Streptophyta; Magnoliopsida; Malpighiales; Euphorbiaceae
Source: RNAcentral
AAAAAAGAAAUCAGUUGAAUUGAAUUCUUGCAAAUUUCUAGUUUCCAAACAGGCUGUAAAGGAACUAUGUGAGAAACUAAUUUUAUCACACAAAAGGGCUCAAAUUUCUAUUACAUAUUAGGCAAGAACAACAACACCUGAAAAUUCCCAAAUAAAGCUCUGAGAGGAUUACUAAGAGAAACUAACAAAAUGCAGAAAAAGUCAUAUUUCACAAUCCUACAAGUGGUGGCAAAGCUUAAAACAAAGAAGGGCAUUGAAAAUAUAAUAAAAAUGUUAAACACACCCCUCCAGCUUCAUCUUUGGGU